This is a long non-coding RNA of Polypterus senegalus (gray bichir), 286 nucleotides long. RefSeq lists it as uncharacterized. The record is from RefSeq and is a predicted model, not a curated record. The transcript has 3 exons. Lineage: Eukaryota; Metazoa; Chordata; Cladistia; Polypteriformes; Polypteridae.
GUUUCAUUAGCAGCCUGAACGCGUUUUCUAAAAGCAUGCCGCUCAGCAACAACAUUUCUCUGUGGAGCAAGACAAUGAAGGCUUUUUUGCGUGCUUCUGACCAUUCAUCUCCUGAUGCACCAAGAACCAGCAUGUACUUACUGAACAUUUUCAGCCACAUUUCGAACGGUAUAGCAGGUUCCCCCGGACAUGGCAGACAUGGCGGAGGAAACGGAGUAGCAGCGACAGCCAUUGUAGACCAUUAGAAGCAAGUAAGGUUUCUGCUGGAAGAAGUGUAGACGAGGCC